RNAcentral lists this ribosomal RNA (425 nucleotides) under uncultured bacterium. Its description in RNAcentral is "partial 16S ribosomal RNA". It matches the Rfam family "Bacterial small subunit ribosomal RNA", at positions 354 to 796 of the family's 1533-position model. The record is from RNAcentral.
GUGGGGAAUAUUGGGCAAUGGGGGAAACCCUGACCCAGCAACGCCGCGUGAAGGAAGAAGGUUUUCGGAUCGUAAACUUCUAUCCUUGGUGAAGAUAAUGACGGUAGCCAAGAAGGAAGCCCCGGCUAACUACGUGCCAGCAGCCGCGGUAAUACGUAGGGGGCAAGCGUUGUCCGGAAUGAUUGGGCGUAAAGGGCGCGUAGGCGGUCUGGUAAGUCUGGAGUGAAAGUCCUGCUUUUAAGGUGGGAAUUGCUUUGGAUACUGUCGGGCUUGAGUGCAGGGGAGGUAAGCGGAAUUCCCGGUGUAGCGGUGAAAUGCGUAGAGAUCGGGAGGAACACCAGUGGCGAAGGCGGCUUACUGGACUGUAACUGACGCUGAGGCGCGAAAGUGUGGGGAGCAAACAGGAUUAGAAACCCUAGUAGUCC